RNAcentral lists this ribosomal RNA (450 nucleotides) under uncultured bacterium. Its description in RNAcentral is "partial 16S ribosomal RNA". It matches the Rfam family "Bacterial small subunit ribosomal RNA", at positions 354 to 796 of the family's 1533-position model. The record is from RNAcentral.
GUGGGGAAUAUUGGACAAUGGGCGAAAGCCUGAUCCAGCCAUGCCGCGUGUGUGAAGAAGGUCUUCGGAUUGUAAAGCACUUUAAGUUGGGAGGAAGGGUAGUAACCUAAUACGUUGCUACUUUGACGUUACCGACAGAAUAAGCACCGGCUAACUUCGUGCCAGCAGCCGCGGUAAUACGAAGGGUGCAAGCGUUAAUCGGAAUUACUGGGCGUAAAGCGCGCGUAGGUGGUUUUGUAAGUUGGAGGUGAAAUCCCCGGGCUCAACCUGGGAAGUGCCUCCAAAAGUGCAUGACUAGAGUACGGUAGAGGGUAGUGGAAUUUCCUGUGUAGCGGUGAAAUGCGUAGAUAUAGGAAGGAACACCAGUGGCGAAGGCGACUACAUGGACUGAUACUGACACUGAGGUGCGAAAGCGUGGGGAGCAAACAGGAUUAGAAACCCUUGUAGUCC